UACGGAGGGGACUAGCGUUGUUCGGAAUUACUGGGCGUAAAGCGCACGUAGGCGGAUUUGUAAGUCAGGGGUGAAAUCCCGGGGCUCAACCUCGGAACUGCCUUUGAUACUGCAAAUCUCGAGUCCGGAAGAGGUGAGUGGAAUUCCUAGUGUAGAGGUGAAAUUCGUAGAUAUUGGGAAGAACACCGGUGGCGAAGGCGGCUCUCUGGACCGAGACUGACGCUGAGGCGCGAAAGCGUGGGGAGCAAACAGG
Molecule: ribosomal RNA, 253 nt
Filed under: uncultured bacterium
Lineage: Bacteria
Description: partial 16S ribosomal RNA
Rfam family: Bacterial small subunit ribosomal RNA
Source: RNAcentral